GUGAAUGAGUUUGUCCCCGUGAUAGACUGGUGGCCUCUUCAGGGUGUACCCCACCUCUUGACCAAUGACUGCUGGGUUAGGCUCCAGCUCCCCCAUGACGCUUAAUUGGAAUAAGCAAGUAUAGAGACAAUGAAUGACAUCUAAUAUACAUACCUAUUAGCAAAGUUAUUCUUUUUUAUUAUAUAGAGUUUAUGUUAAUGGGCCUAACUGGAAGUGGAAAUUUAUUUUAUUACCUAAAAUUGUUCCACAGGUUUCCAGUAUUUACCAUGGGGCUGAGGGGUAAUGUGCUUACUACACGAUGCCUGUUUUUACAUCUGUGGCAGCCACACAUUAUUAUGUACUGAAAGAUGCUGUCUAAUAAGAGCAAGUGACUUCUUGUGCACUUGAAAUAAUUCAGCCCAUUUUUGGUUUUAUAUGAGAUCCCCUAUCACCCUUUUUAGUCGCUUUAUCCACUGCAGUUCAGUCAUUGUGCAGCUCAGCUUCACUGAAAAAGUGACCAAAAAGCUCCAGCUAUGCAACAAAUCUGACAGCAUCAUGAUUGGAGAGCUGCUUCAUUCACCCCGUUUGGAGCAUUUGUCCCAGUUGUUAAUUUCACAGAAAUUAAGAUGAAGUAAUAAUGCAUAAUAACGUGGUGGACGUGUGCUAUGCCCGGUCUUUAUCUGUGCUGUGUUAUGCGUUGGUGUGGCCGGUGAAAAUCAUGAGCAAAUAUUGAUACAAUACUCCUUUGGAUUGUAGGCUUGGCUUUGCUAAUGACGUAGCUGUACUUAAUCCACAGUCUCUGAAGUCAAAGCCAAGCUGUCUGCCGUCACGUGCAAAAUAC
This is a long non-coding RNA of Thalassophryne amazonica, 820 nucleotides long. RefSeq lists it as uncharacterized. The transcript is spliced from 2 exons. The record is from RefSeq and is a predicted model, not a curated record. NCBI's taxonomy places the organism in Eukaryota, Metazoa, Chordata, Actinopteri, Batrachoidiformes, Batrachoididae.